This 464-nucleotide ribosomal RNA is filed under the name uncultured bacterium. RNAcentral describes it as "partial 16S ribosomal RNA". It matches the Rfam family "Bacterial small subunit ribosomal RNA", at positions 339 to 795 of the family's 1533-position model. The record is from RNAcentral.
CUACGGGAUGCACCAGUGGGGAAUAUUGGACAAUGGGGGAAACCCUGAUCCAGCAAUGCCGCGUGUGUGAAGAAGGCCUGCGGGUUGUAAAGCACUUUCGGUUGGGAGGACUGCUUCUAGCACUAAUAUUGUUGGAAGUUGACGUUACCUUCAGAAGAAGCACCGGCUAGCUCCGUGCCAGCAGCCGCGGUAAUACGUAGGGGCAAGCGUUAAUCGGAAUUACUGGGCGUAAAGCGCGCGUAGGCGGCUAGAUCAGUCGGGUGUGAAAGCCCCGGGCUUAACCUGGGAACCGCAUCCGAUACUGUCUAGCUUGAGUACAGGAGAGGAGAGUGGAAUUCCACAUGUAGCGGUGAAAUGCGUAGAUAUGUGGAGGAACACCAAUGGCGAAGGCAGCUCUCUGGCCUGAUACUGACGCUGAGGUGCGAAAGCGUGGGGAGCAAACAGGAUUAGAUACCCGAGUAGUC